ACACGUAGGGGCCUGACGUUGUUCGGAAUCAUCGGGCGUAAAGGGCGCGCAGGCGGCCGUCCAAGUCCGGUGUUAAAUGGUCGGGCUCAACCCGAUCAUGCGCUGGAAACUGGGCGGCUUGAGUCCCGUAGGGGAUGCCGGAAUUCCAGGUGUAGGGGUGAAAUCUGUAGAUAUCUGGAAGAACACCGAUGGCGAAGGCAGGCAUCUGGCCGGAGACUGACGCUGAGGCGCGAAGGCGCGGGGAGCGAACAGGUUUAGAUACCCUGGUAGUCCGCGCAGUAAACGAUGCGCACCAGGUGUCGGGCGGCAGCGCCCGGUACCGGAGCUAACGCGAUGAGUGCGCCGCCUGGGGAGUAUGCCCGCAAGGGUGAAACUCAAAGGAAUUGACGGGG
This 392-nucleotide ribosomal RNA is filed under the name uncultured bacterium. RNAcentral describes it as "partial 16S ribosomal RNA". It matches the Rfam family "Bacterial small subunit ribosomal RNA", at positions 523 to 918 of the family's 1533-position model. The record is from RNAcentral.